This 253-nucleotide ribosomal RNA is filed under the name uncultured bacterium. RNAcentral describes it as "partial 16S ribosomal RNA". It matches the Rfam family "Bacterial small subunit ribosomal RNA", at positions 524 to 776 of the family's 1533-position model. The record is from RNAcentral.
UACAGAGGUAGCAAGCGUUGUUCGGAAUUACUGGGCGUAAAGGGCGCGUAGGCGGUCUUUUAAGUCUCGUGUGAAAUCCCUCGGCUCAACUGAGGAACUGCACGGGAUACUGGAUGACUUGAGUUCGGGAGAGGGAAGCGGAAUUCCGGGUGUAGCGGUGAAAUGCGUAGAUAUCCGGAGGAACACCGGUGGCGAAGGCGGCAUGCUGGACCUUCACUGACGCUGAGGCGCGAAAGCUAGGGGAGCGAACGGG